GUCCGCUAACGAGCGCAACCCUCGCUGUGUGUUAUAUGUGUCACACGGGACUGCCGGUCUUAAGCCGGAGGAAGGUGGGGAUGAUGUCAAGUCAGCAUGGCCUUUAUAUCCUGGGCUACACACACGCUACAAUGGCCAACACAAUAGGUUGCUAAGCCGCGAGGUGGCGCCAAUCCAUAAAGUUGGUCUCAGUUCAGAUUGUAGGCUGCAACCCGCCUGCAUGAAGAUGGAGUUGCUAGUAACCGCAGGCCAGCUAUACUGCGGUGAAUACGUUCCCGGGGCUU
This 284-nucleotide ribosomal RNA is filed under the name uncultured Leptolinea sp. Its description in RNAcentral is "partial 16S ribosomal RNA". It matches the Rfam family "Bacterial small subunit ribosomal RNA", at positions 1084 to 1382 of the family's 1533-position model. The record is from RNAcentral. Lineage: Bacteria; Bacillati; Chloroflexota; Anaerolineae; Anaerolineales; Anaerolineaceae.